This 201-nucleotide ribosomal RNA is filed under the name uncultured bacterium. RNAcentral's name for it is "partial 16S ribosomal RNA". It matches the Rfam family "Bacterial small subunit ribosomal RNA", at positions 524 to 723 of the family's 1533-position model. The record is from RNAcentral.
UACGGAGGGUGCAAGCGUUAUCCGGAUUUACUGGGUUUAAAGGGUGUGUAGGCGGACUUUUAAGUCAGCGGUGAAAUCUCCGGGCUCAACCCGGAAACUGCCAUUGAUACUAUUAGUCUUGAAUCUUGUUGAGGUAGGGCGGAACGGGUCAUGUAGCGGUGAAAUGCAUAGAUAUGACCCGGAACACCGAUUGCGAAGGCA